Molecule: small nuclear RNA, 106 nt
Filed under: Myotis brandtii (Brandt's bat)
Lineage: Eukaryota; Metazoa; Chordata; Mammalia; Chiroptera; Vespertilionidae
Source: RNAcentral
GUGUUCGCUUCGGCAGCACAUAUACUAAAAUUGGAAGAUACAGAGAAGAUUAGCAUGGCCCCUGGGCAAGGAUGACAUGCAAAUUCGUGAAGCGUUCCAUAUUUAA